UUUUAUCACAUAUGGAAAUAUCUCAUCAAAUAAUAUCAGGGAAAAGAAGUGUAGCAUCGUCAAUCAUAUACAAGAGAAAAGGAAAAUAAUCAUCCUAUGGAUCCCUAGAAACAAUCAUCUAAAGCUCGGGACACAGGAAGAUAAGAUGCGCGAAGCCUCUUCACCUCCCUCUCGUAGGCUGCCUCCAUAUCGGCCUUCUCUUUGGCGAGUCGAUCAUACCUCCUCUUCCAGAACUUAGAAGACUGAGGAAGUAGAGAAGUCCAUACAUCAUCAGGGUCAUCAAUAACCUGAUGCUCAAGAAACUCAAUC
Molecule: long non-coding RNA, 309 nt
Filed under: Lathyrus oleraceus (garden pea)
Lineage: Eukaryota; Viridiplantae; Streptophyta; Magnoliopsida; Fabales; Fabaceae
Description: Pisum sativum (pea) long non-coding RNA (PSAT_LNC008293)
Source: RNAcentral